GAUGAACGCUGGCGGCGUGCCUAAUACAUGCAAGUCGAGCGAACAGACGAGGAGCUUGCUCCUCUGACGUUAGCGGCGGACGGGUGAGUAACACGUGGAUAACCUACCUAGAAGACUGGGAUAACUUCGGGAAACCGGAGCUAAUACCGGAUAAUAUAUUGAACCGCAUGGUUCAAUAGUGAAAGACGGUUUUGCUGUCACUUAUAGAUGGAGCCGCGCCGCAUUCGCUAGUUGGUAAGGGAACGGCUUACCAAGGCGACGAUGCGUAGCCGACCUGAGAGGGUGAUCGGCCACACCGGAACUGAGCCACGGUCCAGACUCCUACGGGAGGCAGCAGUAGGGAAUCUUCCGCAAUGGGCGAAAGCCUGACGGAGCACCGCCGCGUGAGUGAUGAAGGUCUUCGGUUCGUAAAACUCUGUUAUUAGGGAAGAACAAAUGUGUAAGUAACUAUGCCCGUCUUGACGGUACCUAAUCAGAAAGCCACGGCUAACUACGUG
Molecule: ribosomal RNA, 497 nt
Filed under: uncultured bacterium
Lineage: Bacteria
Description: partial 16S ribosomal RNA
Rfam family: Bacterial small subunit ribosomal RNA
Source: RNAcentral